RNAcentral lists this transfer RNA (72 nucleotides) under Enterovirga aerilata. Its description in RNAcentral is "tRNA-Thr". The record is from RNAcentral. Lineage: Bacteria; Pseudomonadati; Pseudomonadota; Alphaproteobacteria; Hyphomicrobiales; Methylobacteriaceae.
UGGAUAAUUUGGCGCUAAUCCGCGCCCUUGGUAAGGGAGAGGUCGACAGUUCAAUCCUGUCCGGCAGCACCA